This 385-nucleotide ribosomal RNA is filed under the name uncultured eukaryote. Its description in RNAcentral is "SSU rRNA". It matches the Rfam family "Eukaryotic small subunit ribosomal RNA", at positions 567 to 972 of the family's 1831-position model. The record is from RNAcentral.
CCAGCAGCCGCGGUAAUUCCAGCUCCAGAAGCGUAUACUAACGUUGUUGCAGUUAAAAAGCUCGUAGUUGAAUUUGUUGUAGGAGCGACCUGGCCUUUUGGUGAAUGCCAAUUGUAUUUUGCUAAGUGUCUGUCUUCGGCAAUUUUUAGAAUUAGUAAUUCUUCUUUCACUGUAAAAAAAUUAGAGUGUUUCAAGCAAAACGUAGAUUUGGAAUAUAAUAGUAUGGAAUGAUAAGAUAGGACUCUUUUACUAUUUUGUUGGUUUGUAUAAGAGAGUAAUGAUUAAUAGGGACAAUUGGGGGUAUUCGUAUUCAGAUGUCAGAGGUGAAAUUCUUGGAUUUUCGGAAGACGAACAACUGCGAAGGCAUUUACCAAGGAUGUUUUCA